This is a non-coding RNA of Bacidia gigantensis, 144 nucleotides long. The record is from the annotation of a RefSeq genome assembly. NCBI's taxonomy places the organism in Eukaryota, Fungi, Ascomycota, Lecanoromycetes, Lecanorales, Ramalinaceae.
GCGGGUUUAGCUCAGUUGGGAGAGCGUCGUAAGUGCUCACAUAAUUCUGUCAAGUGAGAGAAUCCGUUCCUAACAAUGUCAUAAAGAGACUGAAGUUAUCCAAAGCUUAUCUGAAGGUCGUGUGUUCGAUCCACAUAAGCCGCA